GCAGCUGGUACCUGGGAUCGGGCAGGACGGUCCUCUUGCUGGCGCGGGCGGCCGGAGUCGCCUUGCUCUUCUCCAUGGCCAUCAGGUAAUGAUGAAGCCCCUGCUCUGGUCCAAGCUACCUGUGAACAGCGCCCAGCGGGCCGGGCCCCCAACCUCGCUCCUGAACGUACCCGCAAGCCCGCCGUGAGAAUUCAGCGAAGAGUAAAGGCUGGAGAAAGUUGCGUGUCUCAGGCUAAGCAGAGCAAAGUGGGGUGAGGGCUUCGCCGCUAGGAACAGAGAUGCCCUUAGGGAGCCCCCUGAUGGAAGAGCUCUCUGCUUAAGAAGGUCAGCACGCCCUUACACUCAGUUUUACCACGUUUUUCAAGAUCCAAGGCACAAUAGGCAUAAAGUUAUCCUGAAAAGGACAAGAGGAGUGUCAGAAGUAGGAAUGGCAGUCGAAGGAGCUUCGUCUGGCAGCAGAAAGCCAAAAUGACAGGCAAGCACAAAAUAUAUUAAUGAGACAAAGCUAUGCAUGAGCGAAAUAUCAAACUUUCAUCUUCUACCCACUUUUUUUUUUUUUUGCUUAAAAAUAGGAAGACAGAAUGUCUUGUCAAGGGUCACCCCAGGAGGAGGAGUAAAUUCUCCAAAAAUCAGAACAUAUUUUUAUGAUUUAAUUAAUGCAAUUUCUCUCAAUGUUUCUGUUUGUCAUUUGAGCAUCCACAUGAUCAGACCUGACAUCUGCCUACAUUUUAUUGGUCAUCUUUGACUUCAGUUAAGAACCCUUUGGGUUUUGCUUUUUGCUUUUUUUUCCCCCCAGCAGCACACUGUAGUAAGUUUGGAACAAGACACACCUGAAAUCAAGUCCCUGCUCUGGGCUGGGUGAUCUUAGAGGCAAUCUCUUAACCUCAUUCUACUUUAUUGUUCUCAUAGGAAAAGUGGAAAUGAGGCCUUUUACCCCAGGGUUGUUGAGAAGACAGGGGAGAAAAAGCACAUAAAAAUGCACCUUGUCGGGCGCAGUGGCUCACACCUGUAAUCCUGCACUUUGGGAGUCUGAGGCAGGUGGAUCGCUUGAGGCCAGGAGUUCAAGACCAGCCUGGCCAACAUGAAAAAUACAUUAAAAAUAAUGUCUCUAUUAAAAAUACAAAAAUUAGCCAGGCAUGGUGGUGCACGCCUGUAACCCAGCUACUCAGGAGGCUGAGGCACAAGAAUCGCUUGAACCCAGGAAGUAGAAGCUACAGUGAGUCGAGAUUGCACCACUGCACGCCAGCCUGGGUGAAAGAGUGAGACCCUGUCUGAAAAAAAAAAAAAAAAAAAAGCAUUUUGCCUGGCACCCAGUAGAUCCUCAAUAAAGGUCAUGUCACUUC
Long non-coding RNA from Homo sapiens (human), 1343 nucleotides. RefSeq lists it as uncharacterized. Lineage: Eukaryota; Metazoa; Chordata; Mammalia; Primates; Hominidae. The transcript has 3 exons. The record is from RefSeq and is marked validated.